Corvus hawaiiensis (hawaiian crow) is the source of this 2198-nucleotide long non-coding RNA. RefSeq lists it as uncharacterized. The transcript is spliced from 2 exons. The record is from RefSeq and is a predicted model, not a curated record. Lineage: Eukaryota; Metazoa; Chordata; Aves; Passeriformes; Corvidae.
GGAGAUUGGUUUGAUUCAGCAAAGCCAAUCCUCUUCCCUCCUCCUCACCCCAAGCCCUGCCCACUGAUAAAGAAGAAUUUUGCUUAUCAGGAGCCACAGUCCAAGGUACAGACUUUCAUUGCUGGUUUGAUUAAAGGAUCACCAAAACUUUCUAUGGCAGAGAACAAAAGAAUACCAAGUGGAUAGUUCCUCCCUGUGAAGAGGGUCCAAGUGGGACUGAAUUUUCUCUUUCUAGAGGUGUUUCAUGGAAAGAUGAAGUGGUGACAGGACUGAAGAAUUGCUGUUCUUCACUGCAAGUGUUUACAUGUUUUUGUCUUGAUAAGGUUUUUUAAUAUGUUUUAUGUAAGUUUGUUGCAAGCAGUAUUUUAAAUUUUUUGUAUUUUUUCUCUGGUUGCCACAACGGGUAGAGAAGGUUCCACCCUAAAUUUACCUUAGGCAAAUUUGUAUACCUCUUCCCAUCUCCUCAGAGCAAAGCAUAAAAUUACUACACCAAGGCAAGUGUAGUAAUUUUACUUACUUUUAAUUUAACUUACUUUUAAUUUAACUUACUCCCAGGUAAGUCCCAGAAUCCUGCUAACUACAUGUAGUAACGGUAGGUGAUGUGUAGAGCAUGAUUGUGCAGAAGGGCAUGUGGAACUGUUGGUGGCCCCUGGAAGCAGGGAGAAAGGGGCUGACAGAGGAGCAGAGCUGGCAGCUGGAAACCUCUCUCCAGCUAUAGACAAAGAAGGCAUAAGAGCUGAUAAAAGACAAGAAGAAAGAUUUGGGGUUUGAGAACCACUGAAGGGUAUGGUAAAGUUGGAAAGGUAUUUGGUCUGAACCCAGGACUUUGACUGAAAUGAUAUCCUGAGGAGGUUGGAACCUCUUGAGUUUUGUUGUAUCUUUGCCCCCCACCCCUGAGGCAAUCCAGACUAUUAUGUAGUACAAUUUUUACAGAAUAUAAUUUUCUCAUGGUGCCCAUUGAGAGGAAAAAUCCUUUUUCCCUGGGUACAGGAAACCUGGCUGGUGGGAGAGAUAAAGGUGGUAAUCUGGGACAUGUAUAUUUGUCUGAGCUAGGACAAUUCCUGAACCUGUAAGAUUAUGGACCCCAAAAGGCAAGGCAGCCUAACAAUUGAAAAUUGGCCAAUCCUUAAAGUUUGUAUUUUUUUGACAAGAAGUGCAAUGCAUUGCAAUAUCAUUAAGAAAUACACAGUCUUGAAUGGAACUUGCCAUGCUAUUUGGAGCUCAGCUUACAAGUCCAGCAAGUAUCAAAAAUAGUUUUAUAAAAUUGUCUAAUGUUUGAAAUGUUAUUAAUAAAUAAGUAAAGAGUAUGUAAAAUACUAGACCUCACCAAAGAAGAGUGCUAUCUCAAGAAACACAAAGGAAAUCACCGAACAAUCUGCUGGACUCUUUGGUGACUGCAGCUGAAAAAGUGGUUUCAUGAACUCUUCCUGCCACUGGAUUCUGGGUUGUAUCACACCUUGCCUGCAAUUUUAGAGACUCACGGGGUGGGGAACAACAACUUGCAUAGAGCACAGUUUUUGUUUUAACUAGAUUCAGACUUCUGAUUAUUGAAAUAGCAAUUGUCAGUUAUAUAAUUUCCUGUAUGCUUUCCUCUUCUUUCCUUUUUCCUCUCUCUGCUAGGUUAGGAUUCCACUACUGCCAUGAGAGGAAAGGUACUGUUACUGUGAUCCCGAUCAAUGUCUUGAGCCACGGGGUAGUGUGAGAGACUGGAAGGCUUGCCAGCUCAAAAUAUUUCAGGUGUUUUUAUGUGGGAGAAGGGGCAGAUCAGGCUUUGCUCUGGUGAGCCGAUGCCCUGCUCCACACACCCCACUGCCCCAGGCCUGUAUCCCAGCCCAGCAGUGGCUGCCAAUCCCUGGCACACCCGAGGCAACACUCCACACCUCUGCCUGGAGCCCCUAAUCCAGCUCCUAAAUGGCCAAGUGACUGGAAGCCCCAUGUGGGGGAAGGCCCCAGGAAAGCCAAAGGGUGUUUAACUCAGGAUAUGUGGCAACCACAUGUCUUGACCCUAUGUCUCCUGGGAAUUUCUAUCAGCUGAACACCACUGGAACCAGGAGUGGUAGUAGCUAUACUAGUUCUUUUCUGUAAUUCUCUCUUUCUCUUUAUUUUUCUAAUUCCCUCCUCUCAGAUUUUUGUGUAACUUAAAAUCUAACAGGAUUGGAGUUUGUUAACUUGCCAGUAAAGGUUUUUUGUUGUUUUGA